Molecule: ribosomal RNA, 399 nt
Filed under: uncultured bacterium
Lineage: Bacteria
Description: bacterial SSU rRNA
Rfam family: Bacterial small subunit ribosomal RNA
Source: RNAcentral
GGAAUCUUAGACAAUGGGCGCAAGCCUGAUCUAGCCAUACCGCGUGGGUGAUGAAGGCCUUCGGGUUGUAAAGCCCUUUCACCGGGGACGAUGAUGACGGUACCCGGAGAAGAAGCACCGGCUAACUCCGUGCCAGCAGCCGCGGUAAGACGGAGGGUGCUAGCGUUGUUCGGAAUCACUGGGCGUAAAGGGCGCGUAGGCGGCCUGGGAAGUCGGCUUGUGAAAGCCCGGGGCUCAACCCCGGAGGUGCGGCCGAUACUCCUAGGCUCGAGGCCGGAAGAGGAGGGUGGAAUACCCAGUGUAGAGGUGAAAUUCGUAGAUAUUGGGUGGAACACCGGUGGCGAAAGCGGCUCUCUGGUCCGGUCCUGACGCUGAGGCGCGAAAGCGUGGGGAGCAAAC